AGAACGAACGCUGGCGGCAUGCCUAAUACAUGCAAGUCGAACGAAGGCUUCGGCCUUAGUGGCGCACGGGUGCGUAACGCGUGGGAAUCCGCCCCUUGGUUCGGAAUAACAGUUGGGAACGACUGCUAAUACCGGAUGAUGACGAAAGUCCAAAGAUUUAUCGCCAAGGGAUGAGCCCGCGUAGGAUUAGCUAGUUGGUGAGGUAAAGGCUCACCAAGGCGACGAUCCUUAGCUGGUCUGAGAGGAUGAUCAGCCACACUGGGACUGAGACACGGCCCAGACUCCUACGGGAGGCAGCAGUAGGGAUAUGGACAAUGGGCGAAAGCCUGAUCCAGCAAUGCCGCGUGAGUGAUGAAGGCUUAGGUCGUAAAGCUCUUUACCCGAGAUGAAUAAUGACAGUAUCGGAGAACUAAGCCCCGGCUAACCUCCGUGCCAGCACGCCGC
This 444-nucleotide ribosomal RNA is filed under the name uncultured soil bacterium. Its description in RNAcentral is "bacterial SSU rRNA". It matches the Rfam family "Bacterial small subunit ribosomal RNA", at positions 26 to 518 of the family's 1533-position model. The record is from RNAcentral.